CGGGCGGUAGCUUAGCCUGGCAGAGCAUCCGGCUGUAGACCGGAAUGUCGCAGGUUCAAAUCCUGCCCGCCCGACCA
Molecule: transfer RNA, 77 nt
Filed under: Thermococcus sp.
Lineage: Archaea; Methanobacteriati; Methanobacteriota; Thermococci; Thermococcales; Thermococcaceae
Description: tRNA-Tyr
Rfam family: tRNA
About the family: Transfer RNA (tRNA) molecules are approximately 80 nucleotides in length. Their secondary structure includes four short double-helical elements and three loops (D, anti-codon, and T loops).
Source: RNAcentral